RNAcentral lists this ribosomal RNA (496 nucleotides) under uncultured bacterium. RNAcentral describes it as "partial 16S ribosomal RNA". It matches the Rfam family "Bacterial small subunit ribosomal RNA", at positions 30 to 523 of the family's 1533-position model. The record is from RNAcentral.
AUUGAACGCUGGCGGAAUGCUUUACACAUGCAAGUCGAACGGUAGAGGGGGCAACCCCUCGAGAGUGGCGAACGGGUGAGUAAUAUAUCGGAACGUGCCCAGUCGCGGGGGAUAACGUAGCGAAAGUUACGCUAAUACCGCAUACGAUCUAAGGAUGAAAGCGGGGGAUCGCAAGACCUCGCGCGAUUGGAGCGGCCGAUAUCAGAUUAGGUAGUUGGUGGGGUAAAGGCUCACCAAGCCAACGAUCUGUAGCUGGUCUGAGAGGACGACCAGCCACACUGGAACUGAGACACGGUCCAGACUCCUACGGGAGGCAGCAGUGGGGAAUUUUGGACAAUGGACGCAAGUCUGAUUCAGCCAUUCCGCGUGCGGGAUGAAGGCCCUCGGGUUGUAAACUGCUUUUGUACGGAACGAAAAGGUCUCUCUUAAUACGGGGGACUCAUGACGGUACCGUAAGAAUAAGCACCGGCUAACUACGCGCCAGCAGCCGCAGUAA